Schizosaccharomyces pombe (fission yeast) is the source of this 843-nucleotide non-coding RNA. NCBI's taxonomy places the organism in Eukaryota, Fungi, Ascomycota, Schizosaccharomycetes, Schizosaccharomycetales, Schizosaccharomycetaceae. The record is from the annotation of a GenBank genome assembly.
CUUCCCACCAAGAAAAAUGGACUGUAAUUAACAAAGCCAUAUAUGUAAACGCUAUAAGAACAAUAUUCAUUAUUAUUAUGAUUUAAAUAUGUUAAAUCCUUUUUCUAAUGAUCUUACAAGAUGAAAAGCUAGUUUCAGUUUCUCAUUUUUUAAUUAGCAAGGAACUCCCGAAAAUGCUUCAAAAGUUCUAUAAUAGUUAUUUAAUUAGACUGCAGUACUCAAUUACUAAAUAUUCCUUUAUUUUAGUCGCUAAAAAGUGUCAUAAUUUGUGGGAGUGUAUAUGGAUAAGCCAAAACGCCCAUUUUAUUAAAAGGUAAAAGUCGAUUUAAGCUUGGAUUGCAAUAUUUAUAAUAAUUAUUUUCCUUAACUCUAUGGGUUCGCCUAAUUACAAUUAACUGUCUGCUGUUCCUUCGAAAAAAAAAAUAAAAAAAUACAACCUGAAUAUGUCUUCUCAAGGUUCAAGCUUGCUUAGAUUUUGAGAUUGAAAAUAAAACAGAGAUUUCCUAUUUGCAUGUAAUUUAAGGUCCAUUUUCUAAACAUUAAGAAGCUCAUCGGUUUCACAAUCGGGGUUACCUCUAGAAUCUAUUUGGGGCAAUCUAAUUUCAGUUAAUUUCAAUUGUAACUCCAAAUCACUUUACUGAAUUGUAAAUCGGUUUACUGAAUUGUUAUUUCCAGUACAUGGUCUCUCAUAAUUUUAUUUAUACUAUCUAUCUGGUUAUGCAGCUCUUGGAAAUUAUUAAAACAAAUGCCAUAAUUGCUGGAUGUCAUUUUUUUCUUUGGUCUUUUUUUUUUCAUUUUUCUUACUCUAUAGAAUUUUUUUGUGCAGUUGACUUUCUUCAAAAC